Molecule: ribosomal RNA, 468 nt
Filed under: uncultured bacterium
Lineage: Bacteria
Description: partial 16S ribosomal RNA
Rfam family: Bacterial small subunit ribosomal RNA
Source: RNAcentral
GACGAACUCUGGCGGCGUGCUUAACACAUUCAAGUCGAACGGAAAUGCCCUGCUUUUGUGGGGUGCUCGAGUGGCUAACGGGUGAGUAACACGUUAGUAACCUGCCCUUGACUUUGGGAUAACUUCAUGAAACUGGGGCUAAUACCUGAUAGGAGCUCCUGCUGCAUGGUGGGGUUUGGAAAGUUUCGGCGGUUGGGGAUGGACUCGCGGCUUAUCAGCUUGUUGGUGGGGUAGUGGCUUACCAAGGCUUUGACGGGUAGCCGGCCUGAGAGGGUGACCGGCCACAUUGGGACUGAGAUACGGCCCAGACUCCUACGGGAGGCAGCAGUGGGGAAUAUUGCACAAUGGGCGGAAGCCUGAUGCAGCAACGCCGCGUGCGGGAUGACGGCCUUCGGGUUGUAAACCGCUUUCGCCUGUGACGAAGCGUGAGUGAAGGUAAUGGGUAAAGAAGCACCGGCUAACUACGUG